Molecule: ribosomal RNA, 619 nt
Filed under: Lactococcus lactis
Lineage: Bacteria; Bacillati; Bacillota; Bacilli; Lactobacillales; Streptococcaceae
Description: bacterial SSU rRNA
Rfam family: Bacterial small subunit ribosomal RNA
Source: RNAcentral
ACUUGUACCGACUGGAUGAGCAGCGAACGGGUGAGUAACGCGUGGGGAAUCUGCCUUUGAGCGGGGGACAACAUUUGGAAACGAAUGCUAAUACCGCAUAAAAACUUUAAACACAAGUUUUAAGUUUGAAAGAUGCAAUUGCAUCACUCAAAGAUGAUCCCGCGUUGUAUUAGCUAGUUGGUGAGGUAAAGGCUCACCAAGGCGAUGAUACAUAGCCGACCUGAGAGGGUGAUCGGCCACAUUGGGACUGAGACACGGCCCAAACUCCUACGGGAGGCAGCAGUAGGGAAUCUUCGGCAAUGGACGAAAGUCUGACCGAGCAACGCCGCGUGAGUGAAGAAGGUUUUCGGAUCGUAAAACUCUGUUGGUAGAGAAGAACGUUGGUGAGAGUGGAAAGCUCAUCAAGUGACGGUAACUACCCAGAAAGGGACGGCUAACUACGUGCCAGCAGCCGCGGUAAUACGUAGGUCCCGAGCGUUGUCCGGAUUUAUUGGGCGUAAAGCGAGCGCAGGUGGUUUAUUAAGUCUGGUGUAAAAGGCAGUGGCUCAACCAUUGUAUGCAUUGGAAACUGGUAGACUUGAGUGCAGGAGAGGAGAGUGGAAUUCCAUGGGUGACGGGG